Molecule: ribosomal RNA, 376 nt
Filed under: uncultured bacterium
Lineage: Bacteria
Description: bacterial SSU rRNA
Rfam family: Bacterial small subunit ribosomal RNA
Source: RNAcentral
GACGAACGUUGGCGGCGUGCCUAAUACAUGCAAGUCAACUGAAAUACCGGUAGCAAUACUGGUAUGGAGGUGGCGCACGGGUGAGUAACACGUAGGUAAUCUGCCUUCAGGUCUGACAUAACCCAUCGAAAGGUGAGCUAAUAUCAGAUGAUGCAGCGGCUUGACAUCAAGACAGUUGUUAAAGCUUCGGCGCCUGAAGAUGAGCCUGCGUCUGAUUAGCUAGUUGGCGGGGUAACGGCCCACCAAGGCUGCGAUCAGUAGCUGGUCUGAGAGGAUGAUCAGUCACACUGGAACUGAGACACGGUCCAGACUCCUACGGGAGCAGCAGUAAGGAAUAUUGCUCAAUGGCCGAAAGGCUGAAGCAGCAACGCCGCGU